UGGUGGAGAUGGGGAAACGAGAACCUAUGUGCAUCGUUGGUGAUAAAUAAAUAAAUAAAUAAAUAAAUAAAUAAGUAUGUCAUGAUCUUAAAAGUUUGUGAACAAACUGUAUUUCUGUUUUGAAACCACACAGCGCCCCGCUCCCUCAUCUGCUUGGAGCUACAAGGAUCUCUGAGAUACCUGCUGGCAUUAGCCUGUAUUCCAGGACUGGACGUCAGGGCAUCCUUUAGCCCUUAAAGCUGUAUGCCCUUUCUCACAUCCGCAAAGGGGACUGUGAGCUGUAAAAAG
RNAcentral lists this long non-coding RNA (288 nucleotides) under Pan troglodytes (chimpanzee). Its description in RNAcentral is "long non-coding RNA NONPTRT014522". Lineage: Eukaryota; Metazoa; Chordata; Mammalia; Primates; Hominidae. The record is from RNAcentral.